AUCCGUGUGACGGUUACUUCGGA
RNAcentral lists this non-coding RNA (23 nucleotides) under Arabidopsis thaliana (thale cress). Lineage: Eukaryota; Viridiplantae; Streptophyta; Magnoliopsida; Brassicales; Brassicaceae. The record is from RNAcentral.